RNAcentral lists this unclassified non-coding RNA (687 nucleotides) under Viscum myriophlebium var. myriophlebium. RNAcentral's name for it is "sequence contains ITS1, 5.8S rRNA gene". The stretch from base 286 to 444 matches the Rfam family "5.8S ribosomal RNA". The record is from RNAcentral. Lineage: Eukaryota; Viridiplantae; Streptophyta; Magnoliopsida; Santalales; Viscaceae.
UUUCCGUAGGUGAACCUGCGGAAGGAUCAUUGUCGAAUGCUUGAAGAAUUUCGGUCGACAUGAGGACUUGUCGGAACAUACGUGGGUGGUGCAUGGGGAAGCAGCCCUGUCGCCAACCUGUGGUCGGUGGUGAUGUGUUUGGGAGGCCAUGUGGACCCCGACCUAAAUCGUAAAUCAGCACAGAAUGUGCUAAGGAAGCUAUGUGAGAAAAUCUUACACCCACUCCCACCUCAUGUGGCAUGCGUGUUGGAUCCGGGGUGGUGGGUUGUGCAAACGUGACUUAAUGACUCUCGAUGAUGGAUAUCUCGGCUCCCGUAUCGAUGAAGAACGCAGCGAAAUGCGAUACAUUGUGUGAAUUGCAGAAUCUCGUGAAUCAUUGAGUUUUUGAACGCAAGUUGCGCCCGAAGCCAUUUUUUGGUUGAGGGCACGCCUGCCUGGGUGUCACGCAUGGAUUUGUCCCCAAACCUCCAUCGAUUGGAGACCCAUUAAUCUGGUUGAUUUUUGGGAGAGAAUGAGCCCCGGGGGUUGAUGUUGGCCUUCUGUUCCAUGUGGUGCGGUUGGUUUAAAUUUGGGGUCCCAGGCGUCAUGUGUCACGAUGAGUUGUGGAGAACCUUGAUUGUCCCAUGGCGGUUGGUGAACCACCUGCGGUCCCAUGGCCUUGUUCGACAGUUAACAGAGUAGCCAUCC